Triticum urartu is the source of this 1320-nucleotide non-coding RNA. NCBI's taxonomy places the organism in Eukaryota, Viridiplantae, Streptophyta, Magnoliopsida, Poales, Poaceae. The record is from RefSeq and is a predicted model, not a curated record.
GCUGCGCUGACACUGCGUUGAUCGUGCGAGGGUUUGCCCAACCGCGUCGCGCGCGCCGCGCGUGGGACAUGCGUCCUGCAGCUGGUGUGGAUGUUCGCUCGUGCUGCAUAGCCUAUGGUAGGUGGGGCUUGUUUUCUGCUGGUCCUACACGUAUGUCCCUUGUUUAGGUUGGAGUGAGACUGUGAAGGUUGUGUUUCUUCUGACACGGAGAGAGGGGUCGUGCAAGUCUCAUCCCAUCUCCCUCCUCCUUCGUCUCCCCAGCCGUGAAAAAAUCCCCUCCGCCGUCUCCUCCUCUCUCUUUCGCCUCCCUCCUCCUUCCCCGGCUCUCCGCCCCACAUCGGGAGUAGCUAGGAUGCUAGGAUGAAGAAAGUAGGAGACGGUAUCGGGUCAAAUGAUCCAGCGGUGGCAGCAAGAGGCAGUCCAUGAUGAAUCUAUGGUAUUGGAAGUUUUGGGUUCCUCGGAAUUAUUGGUGCUUAUCUACAAAGUUGAUUAUGCUUAUCAUUCUAGAUUUUCUGAUUCUCAGUCGAACAAUACCCUUAUAACUACACGGUGGAUGCUAUUCAUUAUGUAAGGUAUUGGAAGUUUUGGGUUCCUUGGAAUUAUUGGUGCUUAUCUACAAAGUUGAUUAUGCUUAUCAUUCUCGAUUUUCUGAUUCUCAGUCGAACAAUACCCUUGAUAACUACACGGUGGAUGCUAUUCAUUAUGUAAGGUGAGCUUCUAUGACUUGGUUUAACCUUUCUAGAUUAUGUAACUGAAUAAAAGAACUUUCUGAUAUGUGUAUUUGUAGAAUUUGCUGAUGUUUGAUGCGAAAUAUUGGUGACCAAAAGUUUGUUAUGGUCAGGUCGAUCUGAAUAUUGUGUUCAUCUGACUACACCUCCUGCUAUGCAUCCUUUUAUGUACCAACAAUGUGACACUACACUACAAUAGAUUUUCACAGGCCAUGGAAAAAUAAUAAAGAAUUUGACAAUCGGUAGCCUCCAGUCUAUAAUUAUAAUUCUGCGCGCACUUUGGAGCUAUUGGAUGCCUGAAUGUGUCACGUUCCUCCAUUGUGCCAUGUUAAGAAUUGUAGCUUGAGAGGAGGGAAAUAGUUAAUCAGGUUGUAUAGAGUUGCUAUCAUACCAUUUCUUUGCGAAUGCAUGGUUUCACUAUCAUUUUUCUUAAAGUAUAUUAGCCUCUUGUUCUUGGAAGAAUGGAUUUUCAUUCUAUACUUGAGGUCUAACCAGGCCUAUAGUUUUUUUUGGUUUUGUUUCUUGACCUGCUGUUUCCUUUGCUGAUCCUUCUUGCUCAUAUAAACAGGCCCACACUUCGAAUGAUUAGAAA